RNAcentral lists this ribosomal RNA (253 nucleotides) under uncultured bacterium. RNAcentral's name for it is "partial 16S ribosomal RNA". It matches the Rfam family "Bacterial small subunit ribosomal RNA", at positions 524 to 776 of the family's 1533-position model. The record is from RNAcentral.
UACGUAGGGGGCUAGCGUUGUCCGGAUUUAUUGGGCGUAAAGAGCGUGUAGGCGGCCAAGUAGGUCCGGUGUGAAAACUCGAGGCUUAACCUCGUGAUGUCAUCGGAAACCAUUUGGCUAGAGUCCGGAAGAGGAAAGUGGAAUUCCUGGUGUAGCGGUGAAAUGCUUAGAUAUCGUCAAGAACACCUAUAGCGAAGGCAGCUUACUAGGCUGUAACUGACGCUGAGGCACGAAAGUGUGGGGAUCAAACAGG